GUGUCAGCCGCCGCGGUAAUACGGAGGGAGCUAGCGUUGUUCGGAAUUACUGGGCGUAAAGCGCACGUAGGCGGCGAUUUAAGUCAGAGGUGAAAGCCCGGGGCUCAACCCCGGAACUGCCUUUGAGACUGGAUUGCUUGAAUCCUGGAGAGGUGAGUGGAAUUCCGAGUGUAGAGGUGAAAUUCGUAGAUAUUCGGAAGAACACCAGUGGCGAAGGCGGCUCACUGGACAGGUAUUGACGCUGGAGGUGACGAAAGCGGUGGGGGAGCAAACAGGAUUAGAUACCCUGGUAGUCCACGCCGUAAACGAUGAUAACUAGCUGCCGGGGCACAUGGUGUUUCGGUGGCGCAGCUAACGCAUUAAAGUUAUCCGCCUGGGGAGUACGGUCGCAAGAUUAAAAACUCAAAGGAAUU
Molecule: ribosomal RNA, 413 nt
Filed under: uncultured bacterium
Lineage: Bacteria
Description: bacterial SSU rRNA
Rfam family: Bacterial small subunit ribosomal RNA
Source: RNAcentral